CAAUAAGAUAAUUCAGCUCUUGAAAAAGAUACCAACUGACAGCCCCACAGAUUGAGGAACAUAUGUCUUCCUGCAAAGGGGCCCCUGUGCACAGAGCAGCCCGGGUAGACUCUGGAGAGGGCAGCUGAGCGUAGGCACAGGCGGAGAGCCAGCCUCAGACCUGGACUCCCAGGGGCCGACCCCGCCCCUCUAGACGAAGCCAAGUAGAGAAGAGGUUUCUUUAACAAAGAUAUCACCUCUGGGCACAAUCUGACACUCUAACAACCUGCCAGGCUUCAAGCUUCAGUUCUGCCUGAGUUCUUCUGUCUUUACUAGAUUUAGGGUGAAUUGGAAUGGGGAGCAAAGUGAAGAGAAAAUCUAUCUUGAUCGUGGAGACCAAGGGAAGCAUUAUGGGAUGAAGUGGGCGAAAAGAAGAGGGAGAACAGAUCAUCUUUCUUCCAUAGGCUGUGAGGGAAAUCAAGGUUUGCUAGUUUCUGCCCAUACAAACCACACUCGGUCACCUUUCUCCAAAUUAUGACCCAAACCCUCUUCUUCAUGAAGAAAAAGAAAUAUAACGAGAGCUCCCAAUUAAGGAGCCUUCGGUUGAGGCCAGUCACUGUGCAGAGCACUUUCUGUGUUUCACCCUGUCGGAUCCACACGAUCCUCCCUGCUGCCCCAGUCUCUGGAGGACACUGAGAGAUCUUCAGAGAGAUGGAGGAGUUUGGCAAAAAUCACAAAGCUCAUAAGUGGCAGAACCAAGAUUCUCACCCUGGCCUGUCUGCCUAUCACACCUUGAUCCUCAAAACUGAUCUGGCAGCACCAUCAUCACCUGGGAAUUUAUUGGAAAUGCAGUCUCUCAGGCCCCACAUAUGAUCUACUGGCUCAGAAUAUGCAUUUGAACAUGAUCAUGUGAUUCUCUGAUGCGUUGGAGUGUGAGUAGUCUCAGCCUCUGUCCUCCAGGUAGAAGCAGUCCUGAGACCACUGGACCAACACACUGGCCUUGACUGAUGCUUCGGUGACUGAUGACUGCUAGCCACACGUCAGCAAGAGCACAUGUGACUGGUUAUCUCUAAAUGGGGCUGAGAACACAAGGCUACUACUAUCAAGCUGCAUCCACCGGACAUGGUCUUUGGGUUGGUUCGUUCUGCAGUCCCUCAAGACAGCCCUAUUAGGGGAAAGGAACUCCCCUCUCCCCUCCAUUUUUUUAUGGCUACAGCUUCUGCAAUGCCGGAUCCUUAACCCACUGUGCCAGGCUGAGAAUCGAACCCGCACCUCUUCAGUGACCUGAGCUGUUGCAGCUGGAUUCUUAACCCACUGUAUCAUGGCCGGAACCCUAGAACUCCCUUUUCUCUUAAUUCUUUUUUUGGGGGGGGCAUUCCCACAGCAUGUGGCACUUCCUAGGGCCAUGGAUCAAAACUGCGCCACAGCAGUAACCCAAACCCCAACAGUGACAAUGCCAGAUCCUUUAACUGCUAGGCCACCAGGGAGCUCCUUUAAGUGUUCCUCUAUCAAUGUAUAUAUAAUUUACAUGCAGCUAAAUACCCAAAUCUUACUUGUGUGACCACCACCUGGAUAAAGGUAUCAAAAAUCUCCAGCACCCAGGAUGGCUCCCUCACACCCCCUCCCAGUCAACACCCUCCUAAUAUUCACUAUUCUGCCAUUUAUCAUCAGAAGUCACCUGUCUUUAAACUUCAAAUAAAUAGAAUGAUGCCGAAUGUUUUCUCUUGCAUCCACAUGGCCAUGAGGUUUAGCCAUAUUCCCGGGUGCUUCAGCAUUGCAUUCUUUCACCUUGCCCAGCAGAACGCCACAUGUGACUCUACCACAGUUUAUUGAUCCAUUCUAGUGUUGAUGGGCAUUUGGGACAUUCCCAUUUGUGGCUUUUAUUAUUGAAGCUGCUGUGAGUACUUUUGUACAUGUGUCUAGGUGUGGACAUGUGUACUCAUUUCUCUUAGCCAAAUGUACAAGCAUCGGCUUGCUUUUAUUCAGUACAUAGGAGGCUUUAUUAGCUCCUGAUAGUUUCUCAAAGCGGUUGUACCAACAUAUGCUUACGCCAAAAGUCAUGUGAAAGUAAAACCUUCAUUUUAACGCUGGUCCAGUAGUGAGCUGGGAUUCCAUUACUCUGCACUGAGUCACUCUCCUUUGAAAAGGAGAAAGAUUUGCUCCUAAAUUCCUAUCUAAGGGAUGACAGCACCCUGCAUCAUCUAAAAUCAGCAGAUUGUUCAAGCACAUUUGUUUGACAUCGGAUAUCAGAAGAGAGCCCCUUUAUGGUGCACGAGAACGGACACUUGAUCCCAACAAGCUGCGACAAUUGAAACUUUACAGCUUCUGCUCGCAUUAGAAAAAAGGUCCCAAAGAUGUCAUCAACUUUUACAAACAUAUGGGGCAAAUUUCAGGGCAGUGCAUGGGGAAUUCAGGGCACCGCUCACAGUAAUGAUAACCUGGAAUAAUAGGAGUUGCGUGGAUAACUCCGGGGCGGCAAGCAGUAAUUACACCCCCGAGGGCUUCUCCACCUCACAGGCCAUAUAUUAACACAUGCUUCCCUCCUGGGAUCCUCCAGUUUACCAGAAAGAGCCACAACUUGGGUCUCAGAAGUAAGGCUUAGGGGCUCAAAGUCCGUGCUAAUUGCUCACUGACCCUCAACCAGCCACUUAGCCUUUGCACGCCUCAACGCCCCUUCCAAUAAACUGAACUUCCCGGACUUCUCUCUCCCUUUCCUGACACUCAGCCUACACUUUUUCUCCACUCAUUAAGAAACCCUUUUUAUUUUGAAAUCAGUUGAAUCCAAAAGAAGAACAGGAAGUGUAGAAGAACUCCCUUAAACCUCUCUGCCCAAUAUUUCCAUUGCUAGUAUUUUGCCAUAUUUGUUUGAAAUUUUCCCUUGGUCUAAAUAAACAGAAAUUUCCCCUGAAACAUUUAAGAUUUCACUGUAGACAACCUACCCUUUGAUCCUUAAUAUUUCAGCCUAAAUUUCCUAAAAGCAAGGACAUCUUCCUACAUAUGAUAAAAUGGGAUUUUAUUUAAUGUCAUAGAAAACUGCUAUUUACUAUACAGCCCAUAUUCAAAUUUCACCAAUUGUCUUAAUAAUGCUUUCUUAGUGUUCCUGCUUCUCCCCAGUCAGGACCAGUACAGGACUGUGCAUUGCAUUUAGUUGUAAUGUUUGUAUAGUUUCUUUUAAUCAGAGACAGUGUUGGAGCCUUUCUUUCUCUUUCUUAAUAUGACAUUUUGAAGAGUGCAGACCACCAGUUCCAUAGAAUGCCCUUGAACUUGUCACUCUACAUUCUUUCCACAUGCGGAUCUGCAAACCUGCAGAAAUGAAAUGUUUUCUCUCCUCCAGGCUUCUGCUAGAGCCAGCCUCUCCACCCGAACUCUCUUCCCUUUCUCUUUCCUCUGGGAAAUUCCCAUUCAACCUUCUCUGAAUGACCCCUCAAACUUGGAGAAAAGCCCUUUCCCUGGGCUCCCAUUGUGCCGCAAGCUGAGCCCCCCUGAGCAUCUACCAAAGUGCAGCAUGUAGUCUGUGUGGGCUGGAAUUACUAACCACUACCCCAGGGAGGGCUCUCACAUCUGCCCAGUUCAGGGCCCCCUAAAAUGUACAGGUAGGUAGGCUUCGCCACCAGCCUCUUCUCCCACAUCGCCCACUGAAUGCUCAGGGCACAAAAGUCACUGGGGCAUUGUAGCGGAGACCUCUCCCGGGUCCAUCAGAGGUGGUAUGGCCAGGAUGACCAGUUAAUCCUGGGGAAGCUCUCUGUAGAUGGAGCAACGUGGCAGAAUCUGCUGAUCAACAGGGCACAUGUGGUAAUAACGGUAACAACAGCAGGAAUUUUAAUACCAAACGUGGAGCACUUCCUUUGUGCUGUGUCUAAAUUCUUUACAAAUAUUAAAUCCUUUACUGCUAUGAGGUAUACUUUAGUGGUGUAUUGGAGGUGGUUUGCACUGAUUCAUGAGAGUCAAUUGUUCAAUAUUUAGGAAUUUCACCACCUGGGUUUUUAAGCCAUUGAUUGCUUGAAACUGACCACUGUGGGAGCAUUUACACCAUAGAAAUCAGCAAAUGCUAAAAGUCAUGGCUUUUUUUUUCAAGAGCCGAUUUACCAGCACACUGGAUAUUGUUGUUAGCCCCAUUUUAUAAACGAGGAAACAAAGAGAAGUUCUGAAACUUGCUUGAGGUCACAUAGUCAGUAAUGUUAGCUAUCUACUAACAUAACAAAUAUGUUUGGGAACAUAACAAAUUGUUCCCAAACUUAGUGGCUCCAAAUAACAAUAAUUAUUGAUUAUCUCUCACAGUUUCUAAUUACUGAUUAGACAGGGCCUAAUAGGGAUGCGGUCUAAGCCUCAGAGGACUAAAAAGCUGGAACCUGGAAUAAUUUGAAGGCUCAUUCACUCACAUGGAUGAUUUUCUUUUUUGACUUUUAGGGCCACACCUGUGGCACAUGGAAGUUGCCAGGCCAGGGCCUGACUUGGAGCUGCAGCUGCCAGCCUACACUGCAGCCAUAGCAAUGUGGAAUCCCAGCUGAGUCUGUGACCUACACCAUAGCUCACUGCAACAGCAGAUCCUUAACCUGCUGAGUGAGGCCAGGGUUCAAACCUGUGUCUUCAUGGAUACUAGGUAGGUUUGUUACCACUAAGCCACAUCAGGAACUCCCUCACAUGGCUGAAAUGCCCUGCCUGGGUCCAACCUCCCCAGGUGGCCUGAGCUUCCUUACAUCAUGGUGGCUAGAUUCCAAGGGCAAAUGCCCCUAGAGAGAGAGACUGCUCCAGGUAGAAAUAGAAGAUUUUUAUGACUUGGCCCGAGAAGUCCCAUAGUAUCUGCUCUGCCCACUCCUUAAUGAGGGUAGUCACACACCCUUGUUUGUAGUCAAGGAGAAGGAGCCCUGACAUCCCGACAUCACUCUCAGUGGUGUGAAUUUUUUUUGUGUGUGUGUGCUUUUUAGGGCCGCACCUGCAGCAUUUGGAAGUUCCCUGGCUGGGGGUUGAAUCAGAGCUGCAGCUGCUGGCCUACAUUACAGCCACAAUAACUCAGGAUCUGAGCCUCAUCUGCAACCUAUACUGUAGCUCAUGGCAACACUUGAUCCUUAACCACUGAGCAAGGCCAGAGAUUGAACCCCUGUCCUCACACACACUAGUUGGGUUCAUUACCACUAAGCCACAACAGGAACUCCAUUGAUUUUUUGAUUUUAUGAAUGAAUUGAUAAUAAGGGCAAAUAUGUUUUGAAGGGUUACUCUGUGCCAGGUACUGUUCUAAGUGCUCUACUGGUAAGAGCACAUUUAACCCUCACAAAAACUCCAUGAACAGGAUAAUAUUAAUCCUAUCAUUGCUUUCACGUUACAGGUAGGAAAACAGACAUGGAAAGACUAAGUAAUUUAUCCAAGAUCACAAAGCUAGUAAUGGGUAGAAUCAACUGUACUUGAACUAUCUUUCUUGACAAGAGGGAAGAAGGAAAAGAAGGAGGGGAGGAAAGGAGGGAAGAAGCCAGGAAGGGUGGGACAGCAGUGUAAUUCCUUAUCCCAGGCCAAGGCAUCCUCUUGCCAAAAGGUGUAUGUUGUUACUUGAAGAGUCACUAAACACUUCAUAGCACAGUGCCUGAUACUGCCACAUUUACACUCACAUCUUUCGACUAAGUUCCCCAGAUUACAAACGUCCUUCAAUAAGAACUUUCCAAGGCCCUAGGAGCACUCACGUAUUAGCUCAGAUUAAUACACACAUUAGCCUUUGGACCCUCAAAAUGGCAAGUUUGGGGUGGUUGAAGGGCAAGUUAAAGAUUAUAAGCCAUGUUUGUUUGUUUGUUUGUUUUUUCAUAUUCUUUGCUUAAAUGAGAUGUCACCUCAGGGGAUAGUCUGACAACAAAAAAUUCUUUCCAGGGAGGAUUACAACGAAAAGCCAGGCUUUCAAAGCAGGGUCAAGAGAAUCCCCAAACAAAUCCUUCACCUCCUUUGAGUCUGGCCUGGGACCUCCUGCUCCCAGCCUGAGGCUGAGUGAAGUUUAUUCAUAAGGAAAGUCCAGAGAGGAGACUGCAGGACUGGGAGAGAGGAUUGACUCAAGAGCAAGGGGACAAGAGGAAAAACAAGGAUUAGCCACCAGUGACAAGCUGGCCUUGACAAAGGUCUAGCACAAAUCUGGUGGUGAGAGGAUGAGAAACUUGGAGGUCAAAGGUUGAGUUGCCAAACCCAGGAGGUGCAGCCAAACUGGCCUCAGUGAAUCAGCAGAGCCUUGACCUCUGGGUACCGGAUGUCAGGCAAGAGACUCGGUUCCUGAAAAGGGGUGUCAGCCAAUUACUAGGAAAGGGAGGCAGUUAGAAGUCAAAGCUGGUGAUUGCUGCUUUGGUGUAGGUCCCUGAGAAGCAGCCCCCGGGACAAGGUUUCAAGCGCAGGUGGUUUAUUUGGGAGGCAAGAGAGAAGUGGUUAGGGAAGUGGAGAAAUGAGGCCGGUAAGGGCGGGCGGUUAAUAAAGUGCAAGGUGCUGGUCAGCUACCACUGCAGGCCCCUGAGCUUUAUCCCAUAGGGGUUCUGCAGGUGUUCAAAGCCUGGAAAAACACUUUAAAUGCCCUGUAACAGGGGGUCAUGUCAAUAAAUCAGAGGUUAUGCUCUCAACAGAAAGCCGUGGAGGUGGGGGCUAGGGAAAGAAUAAGUUAUUUUUCACAGUAACCAAAACUUUCCCUAUAUGUCUACUCUCAGGUUUUUCCAUAAUGAACACAGAUAACUAUCUAUUUAAUAAAAAUGAUAGACAUUCCCCCCAAAAAGAAAGAAAAAGUAUAAUUCUUAAGUGUGACAGAAAAUUUGGCAGGCUAAAAAAAUUCUAAGACAAAUCCUUCUGAAAAACAAAGGCUCCUCCCGAUGAGGUCACCAUGGCUCCCUCGUUUAUUUCUGCUACAAAAGCACAGUUUUCAAGAGAAGAGGAGUCCUUCCACACAGACAAUAGGCUCAGAGCCACAGCCACCGCCACCCAUUCCCUGAGCCAGCCGGGGAUUUGCUGGGUUCUCCAUGACACACGCCUCUGGUCCAAGUGGCUCUCCUGUCCACCUCCUGUCAUCCCAUGAGAAGACACCACCCGUCAUUGUACUCCAGUCUGUGCGUGGUAUCUGAAGAGUCAGUCUGGGGCCAUCUAGUCCUAACGUUCUCAUCAGGCUCACAGCCCAGGGCCCAGCCUGGCAAGUCAGAGCCUGUCUGCCAAGGCCUAGCAGAGUGGAAGCCUGCAGGCUGAGUGAUGGUGGCAGAGCCUGUUGGGCAGGACCAAUAUUGCUCAGGGCCAAUAGGGGAGCAGAGUCUCCUCCCUGAGAAACUGAAGCUACGUGCCCAGGGGAGUUUAGGAAUAUCCUGACUCCUCCAUCAUCCAAGGGCAUAGAGCUCCUUCCUGUGGAAUGGUGGCCACAGGGGAUUUGAAUAUUCCUGCACAGCCUGGGAGAGGGGAGCCCAAAACAUUUAAAGGUCAUGAUGGGUGAGGCAAGGGGCUGAAUGAUGAAGCACAUAGAAAUGAGCACCAGGUACAAGGACCCUCGGCUCCACGCAUGGCAGGAAAGCAGAUCCAGUGCCUCCUGGCUCUGCUUAGACCAGAGUAGGUGUCUCCUGCUUCAUCUAGACACUAAACUCCUUGCUCCCUGCUCCCCUUUCCCUCCUCCAGUGGCCAGCCCAAGCCUAUCCCCACUUCUUUUCACAUAAUAUGCAUCAUCACCCCCUGCUCUUUAAAACUGUCCAUCUAAGCCCACAUUUUCUCAGUGCUUAAGAUUUAUCUUGAUAUUUGUGGAAUAAAAGGAUAUACUUAACCAAUUCAUACCAAGCAUCAAUGAAUGAGAACACCUUCAUGAUUCAGCCAAAGGAAAGAAUCUCUAACAGCUGGAUUCUACCAUUUGGUGGCAGGCCACUAGGCAGGGGUUUGUUCGGUUCUGUUUAAUAUCUUCCUACAGAAACAUCCCAGACCAGAUCACCUUGCAACUGGGAACUGGAUUGCCAAUAGAAUUUAAAAAUAGCAUUGCCAGGAGUUCUCACUGUGGUGCAGUGGGUUAAGGAUCCUGUGUUGUCUCUGCAGCAGCGUGGGUUUGAUCUCUGGCCUGUGGCAGUGGGUUAAGGAUCCAGUUUUGCCACAGCCAUAGCAUAGGUCAUAGCCUUGUCUCAUAUUUGAUCCCUGGCCCAGAAAUUUCCACAGGUGUGGCCAAAAAAGAAAAAAGAAAAACAGCACUGCCAAACUGAAUCUCAGAGAUGCAUAAUCUAUGCAAAUGUAAGGAGAACUUGGAGACUACAUAAUAACAAUAAUAAUAGUAGUAGCAGUAGUAGUAGUAGCAAAUAUGUGUUGGGUAAUUUUUAUGCUAUAUGAAUUAUGUUGUCAUACUUAAUCCAUGCAACCACUUCUUGAGUAGGCAGUGUUAUUCUCAUUUCCAUUUUAUAGAUGAAGAAAUUGUCCCUGGAGAAGAUAAGUAGUUUUCCUAAGGCUACACUGCAGCUAGGGAAGCUGCACCCUGGAAGUCUGGCUUCAGGGUCAGGACUUUUCUACUGCAUGACUAUCUUCCACCUACUUUUUACAGACCAGGAAAACAAGAUU
RNAcentral lists this long non-coding RNA (8502 nucleotides) under Sus scrofa (pig). RNAcentral describes it as "lncRNA (ENSSSCG00060052358.1)". Lineage: Eukaryota; Metazoa; Chordata; Mammalia; Artiodactyla; Suidae. The record is from RNAcentral.